AUCCUUUUAUAACAAAUUUUAACUUAAUUAUUAUACUAACUUAACACAUAUAAUACUUAUAAUAUUGUUAUGCUAUAAAAUAAAAACCCAAAGUUCCUCUCCGUCAAAGCAAGAUCCAUUGUCAUUAGCUUAUUUCUCUCUCUCGAUAAAGGAAAAGAAAAGGUUUGAAUUCAUGAACCAUGAACCAGAGGAAGCUUCUUCUCAAUGAGAGAGUCGAGGUUCGCCAAUUUGAGGAAGGGUUGCGGGGGUCGUGGCACCCUGGGGUGGUUGUUGGAGUUUCGCAUUUAUCCCGAUCAAUUGAAUAUGAUGAGCUCUUGUGUGAAACAGGUGAUUCGAAGCUCAUUGAGUCCAUCCCUGUGACAGAGGCAGUUGAAGGUCUUCAUACCCGUCGCCAUGUUCCAUCAACCUAUCGAGGGUAUAUACGACCUCUUCCUCCCUCAUCUCAACCUCAUUCUAAUCAAAAUCUGGGUUUUGGGGUUUGUGUUGAUGCAUUGUUUGAAGAUGCAUGGUGGGAAGGGGUUAUUUUGGAUAAUGAUGAUAAUGCAUCUGAGCGGUCUGUGUAUUUUCCUGAUGAGGAUGAUGAGUGCAAAUUCAGUGCGAGUCAGUUACGUGUAGCUCAUGAGUGGGAUGAGUUUCUGGGCAUUUGGAGAGACCGAGGUAUAUGGGUAUUGGUGGAGCUAGCAAAAGAACUUGAAGGUGAUGUUCCCUUGGCUUGUUGUGUAAAGAAAGUUUGGUCCUCCCUACGUUUAAAUUAUGGGUUUGGAAAAAUGAUAUCUGAGUGGACUUGUGGUGUUCGGACUGUUUGGAGGACCUACUUCAUGGAAGUUGUUCAGGAGAUUGCAGUUGGGUCUAGCCGGCGAAAUCUUGCUAAUCGCAAAAUCUUGGCCUGGAUGGUGGGAAGGAGAAGUAAAAAAUCAAAGGAUCCUGGGAAGACAAAUUCCUAUUUAUCUGACAUUUCUGCACAAGCAGGUAGCUGCACUGAUUUCAACGCUGUUGGGUCAUGUCGAAAAGGAGAGGGAAAAGGCCCUCUUGGUAAGCACAAAGGAAGGAGACGAUCUGUAAUGUCAAAACUGAAACAUGAGGAGCUACCUAAAAUGAAUCCAUCUACUAGAAAAAGUUCUGUGGCAGAUAAAUCAUGUGGAGAAAAGCAAGUAAUGGAGGAGUCUGGUAAAUUUGAUUAUGGAAUAGACAAGCAAAAGUCUCCCAUACUUAGUGAGAAUGAGGGUAAUCAACUCUCUGUUGACUGCUCAAGAGGAAGUAAAACCAUUUCUUUUUCUGUCUCUGAUGUUCAAGACAAUCAAUCAAUUUACAGGACUUUCACUAAGCAUGGGCAGAUUGAUGGUAAUCUUACUGUCAUUUUCCCUGACUGUAGCAAAGUGCAGGCGAGCAUGCAAUCAUUCUUCUCUGUUAUUCCUAAGAAGAGAAGAUCAUUAAUUAGAAAAAAGUUUUCAAAGAACCAGGGGCCUAAUUCAAAGGUUAAAAAUCCAUCAAAGGUGAAGAAGGGGAAUAACAAGGCUUCUUUCCUUGUUUAUAAAAAUGAUUCAGUGUUGAGGAGAAGGUUUUCAAAGAAAACUAAGCAAGCUGAUGCAAAAGUUGAAGGCAACCCUAAGAAAGAAGAGAAAGGCGUAGAUGUCAUAAGCAAAGAUGAUGCUUUACCUGACGGUCAUCGUUGUUCAAGUCUUCCUGUUGAUAAUUGUGGAAAAAAGUUUAGGCUUAAAGACAUGGUGUCUCGUUCUCGGAGGCGCAAGAGGAAGCGGCGAUGUUGCGGUUCCCGACUCUGUGAUACAAUAUGUAGUGUCUGUCACUAUGGAGGAGAUCUUAUGAUUUGUGGUUACUGCCCAUGCUCAUAUCAUUUAAGUUGCAUUAACCUCAAGGAUAUACCUAAUGAAAAGUGGUUUUGUCCAUCUUGCUGUUGUGGACUAUGUAGCAUGAGAGAUUGCAAGGAUGAUACUGAACAUUUUACAAAAGCUUGUCUCCAAUGCACCCGCCAAUAUCAUGUUGCUUGCCUAAGUGAAGCUCAGCAUAUGUCUUCUACAGACUACCUAUUUGGGAGUUUUUGUAGUGAGGCUUGUUAUAAGUUAUGUGCUCAACUUCAUCAACUUUUGGGAAUUUCAAAUCCCACUACUGUUGAUGGCUUAAGCUGGACACUGAUGAGAUCGUUGAAAAAUGUGUAUGGAUUUCCUGAUAUGUUGAAAACUCACACCUGGAUUAAGCUAUCAGAUGUACUAAGGGUUAUCCAUGAGUGUUUCGAACCUGUCAAGGAUCCUCAUACCAAGAGAGAUCUGGUCAGAGAUGUUGUUUUCAAUUCAGGGUCGAAACUUAAACGAGUAGAUUUUCGUGGAUUCUAUGCCAUGGUUCUCCAUAAUGGUCAUGAAAUUUUAUCAAUAGCCACAGUGAGGAUACAUGGACUAAAGGUUGCAGAGAUGCCGUUAAUUGCUACACCUUUCCGAUAUCGUCGGCAGGGUAUGUGUCGACUUCUUUUCAAGGAGUUGGAGAAGCUGCUUGUUCAAAUGGGCAUUGAGAGAUUAGUCUUGCCUGCAAUACCUCAGCUUAGAGAAACAUGGGAAAAGUCCUUUGGUUUCUUGGAAAUGCCUCUUUCAGAAAGGCUGCAAUUUUUGGGCUAUCCUUUUUUGGCCUUUCAGGGGACGAUAAUGUUGCAGAAAUUCCUUAGGAACUCUAUUUUUAAUAAGGAGAUGAGAGAUUUUUCUGGAAAAUCUUCUGAUUUUGGAGGAAAUGCAUCAAAUAUCUUUAAGAAGCACAUGCAAGGGUCUGAUAGCGAGGACAAGUUCUAUGGCUUGUUGUAUAAGCGCAGGCUGAAAUUAGAAGUUAUAGGGAAAGAAAACUUGGCCAACAAUUGUGGUGGACGUACACGACUUUCUAAGAAAUUGUGCAAGUAGAGACAAAUACUGGCUAGGAGAGAUUGAAAUACUGAUGAAGUAAUUAAAAGCUCACAGUAAAUAGCAGAUCUAACCAGUGGAUAUUGGUCACCCUUUUUGUUUAUGUGACUAAUGGGCAUGAGGUGCAGUUCAGGUGCUUGAGUCCUUAUAUUGCUUAAGGUGCAAGAUGUAAAAAAGGUAAAUGAUGCAUUAUGUUGAGCAGUCCAGAUUCAUUCUUAAGUGACUCGAGGUGUUUGGACUUGAUUGGUUGAACAAAAAGGAGUAUGCUUCUUGCAAAUUUUGCUGGUGUAUUUUGUGGUUUGAGAACUCUAUGCUAGAGGUUGGGUUGGUUGUAUCGGGUUUCGUUAUAAAUGGUCUAUGUUUGAAACCAUUGCUAUCAACCUGGUUGUAAGUGAGUUUUGAUAAAGGAAAACUCAAAUGGCCAAAGGACGAGGAAUACUAUGCUUCAUGCCUUCGUUCAUUCUAUGUGAACCUUACAUGGAGUUUGUGUAUGGUUGGUUGCCUAAAGCAUUAAAGUAGUUUGCUAUUAAAGCUUUCAAGAAUUAUGCUUACAUAGUUUUGCUUGAAACCAUAAUGUGAAUUUCCGAGUAAAUUUGUACAGAAUUGUGUUGGAUACGAAAUUCGAGUUUGAUGUAACACCUUGAAUUUUCUUUAAGAAGGCAACACAUCAGGUGAGGGCCUCCCAAGAAAGGUAUAGAUAGUCUUCUCAUAUAUAA
Molecule: RNA transcript, 3613 nt
Organism: Gossypium arboreum
Lineage: Eukaryota; Viridiplantae; Streptophyta; Magnoliopsida; Malvales; Malvaceae
Exons: 14
Source: RefSeq, a predicted model, not a curated record